This 791-nucleotide ribosomal RNA is filed under the name uncultured archaeon. RNAcentral describes it as "bacterial SSU rRNA". It matches the Rfam family "Archaeal small subunit ribosomal RNA", at positions 85 to 879 of the family's 1478-position model. The record is from RNAcentral.
ACGGCUCAGUAACACGUAGCUAAUCUAACCUUAGAUCAAGGAUACUCUCGGGAAACUGAGAAUAAUACGUGAUAGGAGAUUAUUUCUGGAAAGAUUUCUCUCUGAAAUUCGAGCCUAAGGAUGAGGCUGCGGCGGAUUAGGUAGUUGUUGGUGUAAUGGACCAACAAGCCAAAGAUCCGUAAGGGCCUUUAGCGAGGGAGCCCUGAGAAGGAAUCUGAGACACUAUUCCUAGCCCUACGGGGUGCAGCAGGUAAGCGUAUUCUGCAAUGCGCGAAAGCGUGACAGAGCGAGUCAGAGUGUUUUUCCGUAAAGGAAAAACUUUUGCCAAAUCCAAAAAGUUUGGCGAAUAAGGACUGGGCAAGACCGGUGCCAGCCGCCGCGGUAAUCCCGGCAGUCCAAGUCGCAACCACAAUUAUUGGGUCUAAAACAUCCGUAGCUUGCUUUAUAAGUCUCUUGUGAAAUUCUGUCUCUUAAGGGCAGAUCGUGCAAGAGAUACUGUUUAGCUAGAGACCGGAGGAUGUGAAGAGUACAGCUGAGGUAGUGGUAAAAUAUUUUAAUCUUAGCUGGACUAACAACAGCGAAGGCACUUUACAAAUACGGUUCUGACAGUGAGGGAUGAAGGCUAGGGGCGCAAAAUGGAUUAGAUACCCAUGUAGUCCUAGCAGUAAACACUGCACACUAAACAUCAGUGCCUCCUCGAGAGGCAUUGGUGCUGUAGAGAAGUCGAAGAGUGUGCUACCUGGGAAGUAUAGCCGCAAGGCCGAAACUUAAAGGAAUUGGCGGGGGAGCAC